Molecule: ribosomal RNA, 347 nt
Filed under: uncultured soil bacterium
Lineage: Bacteria
Description: bacterial SSU rRNA
Rfam family: Bacterial small subunit ribosomal RNA
Source: RNAcentral
AGAUUGAACGCUGGCGGCAGGCCUAACACAUGCAAGUCGAGCGGUAGAGAGGUGCUUGCAUCUCUUGAGAGCGGCGGACGGGUGAGUAAUGCCUAGGAAUCUGCCCAGUGGUGGGGGAUAACGUUCGGAAACGGACGCUAAUACCGCAUACGUCCUACGGGAGAAAGCGGGGGACCUUCGGGCCUCGCGCCAUUAGAUGAGCCUAGGUCGGAUUAGCUAGUUGGUGAGGUAAUGGCUCACCAAGGCGACGAUCCGUAACUGGUCUGAGAGGAUGAUCAGUCACACUGGAACUGAGACACGGUCCAGACUCUACGGGAGCAGCAGUGGGGAAUUAUUGGACAAGUGGG